RNAcentral lists this unclassified non-coding RNA (373 nucleotides) under uncultured Ignavibacteria bacterium. RNAcentral describes it as "contains 16S-23S intergenic spacer region". The record is from RNAcentral. Lineage: Bacteria; Pseudomonadati; Ignavibacteriota; Ignavibacteria.
UCACUACUUGCGUAGGCAGUUGAUCCAGAGUUCCCACCAUUACGUGCUGGCAACUGAAUCCAGGGGUUGCGCUCGUUGCUGGACUUAACCAAACACCUCACGGCACGAGCUGACGACAGCCAUGCAGCACCUGUACCGCCCCCCUUGCGGGUAGCCCACUUUCAUGAGUUUAGACGGCCUUUCAAGCCUAGGUAAGGUUCUUCGCGUUGCAUCGAAUUAAACCACAUGCUCCACUGCUUGUGCGGGCCCCCGUCAAUUCCUUUGAGUUUCACCCUUGCGAGCGUACUCCCCAGGUGGAUCACUUAUCGCGUUAGCUCCGACACCGACGGGAAACCGCCGACAUCAAGUGAUCAUCGUUUAGGGCAUGGACUAC